AGAGUUUGAUCCUGGCUCAGGAUGAACGCUGGCGGCGUGCCUAAUACAUGCAAGUCGAGCGAACGUCAUAGAAGCUUGCUUCUAUGACGUUAGCGGCGGACGGGUGAGUAACACGUGGGCAACCUGCCUGUAAGACUGGGAUAACUUCGGGAACCGAAGCUAAUACCGGAUAGGAUCUUCUCCUUCAUGGGAGAUGAUUGAAAGAUGGUUUCGGCUAUCACUUACAGAUGGGCCCGCGGUGCAUUAGCUAGUUGGUGAGGUAACGGCUCACCAAGGCAACGAUGCAUAGUCGACCUGAGAGGGUGAUCGGCCACACUGGGACUGAGACACGGCCCAGACUCCUACGGGAGGCAGCAGUAGGGAAUCUUCCGCAAUGGACGAAAGUCUGACGGAGCAACGCCGCGUGAGUGAUGAAGACUUUCGGGUCGUAAAACUCUGUUGUUAGGGAAGAACAAGUACGAGAGUAACUGCUCGUACCUUGACGGUACCUAACCAGAAAGCCACGGCUAACUACGUGCCAGCAGCCGCGGUAAUACGUAGGUGGCAAGCGUUAUCCGGAAUUAUUGGGCGUAAAGCGCGCGCAGGCGGUUUCUUAAGUCUGAUGUGAAAGCCCACGGCUCAACCGUGGA
Molecule: ribosomal RNA, 629 nt
Filed under: uncultured marine bacterium
Lineage: Bacteria
Description: bacterial SSU rRNA
Rfam family: Bacterial small subunit ribosomal RNA
Source: RNAcentral